RNAcentral lists this ribosomal RNA (253 nucleotides) under uncultured bacterium. RNAcentral's name for it is "partial 16S ribosomal RNA". It matches the Rfam family "Bacterial small subunit ribosomal RNA", at positions 524 to 776 of the family's 1533-position model. The record is from RNAcentral.
UACGGAGGGUGCAAGCGUUGUCCGGAUUCAUUGGGUUUAAAGGGUGCGCAGGCGGAAGGCUAAGUCGGGGGUGAAAGACGGUUGCUCAACAAUCGCAGUGCCUUCGAUACUGGUUUUCUUGGGUGAAGUUGAGGUAGGCGGAAUGGAAGCUGUAGCGGUGAAAUGCAUAGAUAGCUUCCAGAACUCCGAUUGCGAAGGCAGCCUACUGGACUUUCACCGACGCUCAGGCACGAAAGCGUGGGGAUCAAACAGG